Vulpes vulpes (red fox) is the source of this 105-nucleotide small nuclear RNA. The record is from Ensembl. NCBI's taxonomy places the organism in Eukaryota, Metazoa, Chordata, Mammalia, Carnivora, Canidae.
GUGCUUGCUUCAGCAGCACGUAUACUAAAAUUGGAAUGAUACAGAGAUUAGCAUGGCCUCUUGCACAAGAAUGACACACAAAUUCAUAAAGUGUUUCAUAUUUUU